This 1152-nucleotide ribosomal RNA is filed under the name Bacteroides sp. Its description in RNAcentral is "partial 23S ribosomal RNA". It matches the Rfam family "Bacterial large subunit ribosomal RNA", at positions 1 to 1224 of the family's 2925-position model. The record is from RNAcentral. Lineage: Bacteria; Pseudomonadati; Bacteroidota; Bacteroidia; Bacteroidales; Bacteroidaceae.
GGUUAAGCUAUAAAGAGCGCAGGGCGAAUGCCUUGGCACUGGGAGCCGACGAAGGACGCGGUUAACUGCGAUAAGCCAUGGGGAGUCGUAAGCAGACGCUAUAUCCAUGGAUUUCCGAAUGGGGCAACCCGGCUAAGUGAAGCUUAGUCAACGUAUACUGAAUAAAAUAGGUAUGCGUGGGGAACCGCCUGAACUGAAACAUCUAAGUAGGGCGAGGAAGAGAAAUCAACCGAGAUUGCGCAAGUAGUGGCGAGCGAACGCGGAAGAGGCCAAACCGAAAGUAGAAAUACCUUCGGGGUUAGGACAGAAUACGGCAUUAAAUAAGGUUAGUCGAAUUGUGUGGGAAAGCAAACCAAAGAGGGUGAGAGUCCCGUAGACGAAAACUGAGUUUAGCUAUCUGUAUCCAGAGUACCGCCGGACACGUGAAACCCGGUGGGAAGACGGGGGGACCACCCUCCAAGCCUAAAUACUACCCAGUGACCGAUAGAGUAACAGUACUGUGAAGGAAAGGUGAAAAGAACCCCGGGAGGGGAGUGAAAAGAACCUGAAACCCUGUGCUUACAAGCACAUAGAGCACGUCAAAGUGUGAUAUGGUACCUAUUGUAGAAUGGUCCGGCGAGUGAAUGUAACUAGCAAGGUUAAGCACUUAAGGUGCGGAGCCGAAGCGAGAGCAAGUCUGAAUAGGGCGUCGAGUUAGUUGUAUUCGACCCGAAACCGGGUGACCUACCCAUGUCCAGGUUGAAGUGGAGGUAAAACUCCAUGGAGGACCGAACACACGUCCGUUGAAAUGGCCGGUGAUGAGGUGUGGGUAGCGGAGAAAUUCCAAUCGAACCCGGAUAUAGCUGGUUCUCUCCGAAAUAGCUUUAGGGCUAGCCUUGUUUUAGAUUACCGGGGGUAAAGCACUGAAUGAGCUAGGGGGCUUCACGGCUUACCGAACUCUAUCAAACUAAGAAUACCGGAUAAUUGAUGAACAGGAGUCAGACUAUGGGAGAUAAGUUUCAUAGUCGAAAGGGAAAGAGCCCAGACCCACAGCUAAGGUCCCUAAAUACAGUUAAGUAUCGAUCACGGCAACAGGACGCUAUUCCAGAUAUGCGCUUACCGAGGUUAUGAAAUGCGGGGAAUGCUGGAGUAGAUACCGUCGUUGUACAUGGA